Molecule: ribosomal RNA, 529 nt
Filed under: Bifidobacterium dentium
Lineage: Bacteria; Bacillati; Actinomycetota; Actinomycetes; Bifidobacteriales; Bifidobacteriaceae
Description: bacterial SSU rRNA
Rfam family: Bacterial small subunit ribosomal RNA
Source: RNAcentral
UGGUAAUGCCGGAUGCUCCGGUUGGAUGCAUGUCCUUCCGGGAAAGGUUCCAUCGGUAUGGGAUGGGGUCGCGUCCUAUCAGCUUGAUGGCGGGGUAACGGCCCACCAUGGCUUCGACGGGUAGCCGGCCUGAGAGGGCGACCGGCCACAUUGGGACUGAGAUACGGCCCAGACUCCUACGGGAGGCAGCAGUGGGGAAUAUUGCACAAUGGGCGCAAGCCUGAUGCAGCGACGCCGCGUGCGGGAUGGAGGCCUUCGGGUUGUAAACCGCUUUUGAUCGGGAGCAAGCCCUUCGGGGUGAGUGUACCUUUCGAAUAAGCACCGGCUAACUACGUGCCAGCAGCCGCGGUAAUACGUAGGGUGCAAGCGUUAUCCGGAAUUAUUGGGCGUAAAGGGCUCGUAGGCGGUUCGUCGCGUCCGGUGUGAAAGCCCAUCGCUUAACGGUGGGUCUGCGCCGGGUACGGGCGGGCUGGAGUGCGGUAGGGGAGACUGGAAUUCCCGGUGUAACGGUGGAAUGUGUAGAUAUCGG